Molecule: transfer RNA, 91 nt
Filed under: Xylariaceae sp. FL0016
Lineage: Eukaryota; Fungi; Ascomycota; Sordariomycetes; Xylariales; Xylariaceae
Description: tRNA-Glu
Source: RNAcentral
UCCGAAUUGGUGUAGUGGCUAACAUUUGACGCUCUCAUGAUCACUCAUCGAGUGACCCGUCAAGCCCGGGGUUCGAUUCCCCGAUUCGGAG